GCGAACGCCCGCGACGCGUCCGGACGGUCUUCAGACGCGCGUCUGACGUAGCGACCGCGUGGAGGUACAGGCGCGUAGAGCCAUCCUCCAGCAGAGUGCGCUGCCACCAACACAGGUUCCAAGCACCGCCCCUGCUCUGCUUGCGCAGCCAUUCCGCGAGUCCGACGCACACAAAUUCCUGAGCACGAAGGAGAACGUGACUAGAAUCCGCAGUCCUCGCUCUCGCGCUUCGAACCCGUCUGGAGGUACCGCCUGAUAGGUGCCAUUCAUCGCCCG
Molecule: long non-coding RNA, 276 nt
Organism: Schistocerca serialis cubense
Lineage: Eukaryota; Metazoa; Arthropoda; Insecta; Orthoptera; Acrididae
Exons: 4
Source: RefSeq, a predicted model, not a curated record